RNAcentral lists this transfer RNA (65 nucleotides) under Eochionelasmus coreana. RNAcentral's name for it is "tRNA-Ala". Lineage: Eukaryota; Metazoa; Arthropoda; Thecostraca; Balanomorpha; Pachylasmatidae. The record is from RNAcentral.
GGAGCAGAAGUUUUAUAAUAUCAGGCCUGCAACCAGAAGAAGACGGUAAACACCGCCCUACUCCG